RNAcentral lists this transfer RNA (62 nucleotides) under Aristobrotica sp. REN-2018. RNAcentral describes it as "tRNA-Asn". Lineage: Eukaryota; Metazoa; Arthropoda; Insecta; Coleoptera; Chrysomelidae. The record is from RNAcentral.
AAUUGAAACCAAAAUAGAGGUAUAUUACUGUUAAUAAUAUUAAUGAAAUAUUUCCAAUUAAA